Molecule: small RNA, 205 nt
Filed under: Nitrosomonas europaea ATCC 19718
Lineage: Bacteria; Pseudomonadati; Pseudomonadota; Betaproteobacteria; Nitrosomonadales; Nitrosomonadaceae
Description: Proteobacterial sRNA psRNA2
Rfam family: Proteobacterial sRNA psRNA2
Source: Rfam by way of RNAcentral
GGAUUACUCCUUUACGCUUUCGCGUUUGGUUGAUAAAGAUUCGCACCUCUAUCAAACCGGGUAAUCCCACCUCUUGGCAAGACCUGCUGUCAGAUCAAAUCUGAACUACUACAAUUUAUAGGCAAUCCGGAGUGGCAGAUCUGUCAUGGCGUAGUGAACAAACUGUUGUCCAAGUUCAGUAAGGACAUACUGAUCUUCCUCGUCA